This 755-nucleotide ribosomal RNA is filed under the name uncultured bacterium. RNAcentral's name for it is "bacterial SSU rRNA". It matches the Rfam family "Bacterial small subunit ribosomal RNA", at positions 28 to 776 of the family's 1533-position model. The record is from RNAcentral.
AUUGAACGCUGGCGGCAGGCUUAACACAUGCAAGUCGAGCGGAAACGAUGAUAGCUUGCUAUCAGGCGUCGAGCGGCGGACGGGUGAGUAAUACUUAGGAAUCUACCUAGUAGUGGGGGAUAGCACGGGGAAACUCGUAUUAAUACCGCAUACGACCUACGGGAGAAAGGGGGCAGUUUACUGCUCUCGCUAUUAGAUGAGCCUAAGUCGGAUUAGCUAGAUGGUGGGGUAAAGGCCUACCAUGGCGACGAUCUGUAGCUGGUCUGAGAGGAUGAUCAGCCACACCGGGACUGAGACACGGCCCGGACUCCUACGGGAGGCAGCAGUGGGGAAUAUUGGACAAUGGGGGAAACCCUGAUCCAGCCAUGCCGCGUGUGUGAAGAAGGCCUUUUGGUUGUAAAGCACUUUAAGCAGUGAAGAAGACUCCGUGGUUAAUACCCACGGACGAUGACAUUAGCUGCAGAAUAAGCACCGGCUAACUCUGUGCCAGCAGCCGCGGUAAUACAGAGGGUGCAAGCGUUAAUCGGAAUUACUGGGCGUAAAGGGAGCGUAGGUGGCUCUAUAAGUCAGAUGUGAAAUCCCCGGGCUUAACCUGGGAACUGCAUCUGAAACUGUAGAGCUAGAGUAUGUGAGAGGGAGGUAGAAUUUCAGGUGUAGCGGUGAAAUGCGUAGAGAUCUGAAGGAAUACCGAUGGCGAAGGCAGCCUCCUGGCAUAAUACUGACACUGAGGCUCGAAAGCGUGGGUAGCAAACAGG